AGUCCCACCUUUUAUUGGCUAUCUUGGUGAAGCACAUGGAGCAUAAGAAUGUAGCUAAGCAACCUCAUAUACAAGUUAACAUUAUCGAUGUCAUUACUCAACUUGCACAAAAUGCAAAGCCUCAGCCGUCAGUAGCAAUCAUCGGUACUAUAACUGACUUGAUGAAGUAUCUACGAAAAUGCCUUCAAAAUUCAACUGAAAUAUCAAGUUCUGGGGGUGAUAUUGAUAAAUAUAACACUGAUCUUCAGUUGGGAUUAGAAAAGUGUAUCUCACAGCUAUCAAAUAAGGUUGGGAAUAUGUUCUUGACCCAUCCAAGUUUUACUUGAAUCUGAUUAUUUUAAGAUACUUGCAGAAACUACAUUUGAUACUUACGGAAACUACUUUUUCUUGUUAUUCAAAUGUUUUUUCCAUUUAGUUGAAACUUAUUUUCUUUAUGUAUUUAACAGGUUGGGGAUGUGGGACCAAUUCUUGAUAUGAUGGCUGUUGUACUAGAGAAUAUUUCAACCAACAGUAUUGUUGCCCGAACAACUGUCUAUGCUGUUUAUCUAACUGCAGACAUUAUCUCAUCUAUCCCAAACAUAUCAUAUCACAAGAAGGCAAGUGUUCUUGUGUAAUAUACUGUUAUAUUUGUUCCUAUCUUUUAUGUGCAUAUAUGUUCUGACAUUAUAAUCUGUUCCAGGCCUUCCCUGAUGCUCUAUUUCACCAGUUGCUCCUCGCAAUGGCCCACCCAGACCAUGAAACUCGAGUUGGAGCACAUAACAUUUUCUCCACUGUGCUUAUGCCGUCCUUGCUUUCACCUACGUCAGAUCAAAAUAAAAACACUUCUGAAGAUGUUUGUUCUGACUUAUCAGUUAGUGGCAUCCAAGAAGGUAAGGAGUCACAGCUUUGCUUUUCAGGAUGAAGGUAAAGACCAAGCAGAACUCGUUGAUGGAAGACUAAAAGAAAAUGUAAAUCAAGCAUCAGAUAUGGCUGUUAAAAAAUCAAUAAUGUGUCAGUCCCAUGGACACUCAUAUAGCUUCAAGCAUGGUCUGGGUGAUGGAAAAAUGGUGUGAAACUGCUUUCUCUCUGUUGCUUAGUGUUGUUAUCAAUACUGAUACUAUUUAGUGUUCUUACAUAUUUGAAAUUUUCAGCAGCUCACUUCCCUUCGAUUAAGUAGCCAUCAAGUGAGUCUUCUGCUUUCAUCCAUAUGGGUCCAAGCAAAUUCUGCUGAAAAUACCCCUGCAAAUUUUGAUGCUAUGGCCCAUUCCUAUAGCAUUGCAGUAUUGUUUACCCGAUCCAAGGUUUGUCAUAAUUUUAUACUGCCUUUGUUCCAAAAUAUUAAUCUCCUUUAUCAAUUCACAAGGUUCAAGAAAUAUAGUUGUUUUUAUGAUAUCAACUUACUCUUGAUGAUUGAUUUUAUUUUGUUUUUGGUGAUGAUGUAUGAUAUAGUAAUGGCUAGAAUAGUGAAAUCAACAAAUGAUUGUUAGUUUUGGUAAUGAACAAACAUUUUGGAACAACCCAAAAUAGAAGAAUGAACAAAUUAUUUAUUUAUUGUUUCACAGAGAGAGUAUCUGCUGCUGCUGAUUGUGCUUAAUUUGAUAUUGUAAAUGCCUUUUCAAUUAUUAUAGAAGUUCUUUGUUCUCAGCUUGGAUGCUUUACGUGAAAGUAGAAAAGCAAAAAGGAAAAAACUGACUCUCCCUUCAUCGUCUCUUUCUAGUUUUCAGCACCAUCUACCAUUAUCUAGGAAACUCACAGUGAGAUAGCAAUGGUUAACCUUUUUGUUUCAAGCACCCAAGUUAGGUUUAUCAUGUGAUAUUCAAGUUGUUUCUGCUGUGAGGUGUGGCUUGGGCCAAGAAUUGGGUUGUGAUAGAAUUUGGAUAUUACCUUGAGUUUCUAAGAGGCAUGUCCCAGAUCUUCUGCUAAAGAAGAUCCCCUUCUUUAUCUUUUACAUUUUGUGUAGGGAAAUUUGUGACAUAUCUUUAACGCCAGUAGAGUUUCUCUUUGUCCAUUUUGGUAGCUAUUCCUGAACAUGGACUUUUGAUAAAUUUUGCUGAUGACAGACCUCCAGUCACAUGGCCCUAGUUCGGAGUUUUCAGCUGGCAUUCUCCCUUAGGAGUAUCUCUCUGGAUCAAGAAGGUAUGUUACAUCUAUUAUUACUGGUAUUUAUAUAUAUAUAUAUAUUUAUAGAGUGAAAGAGCACAGUGUUAUACAUAUACAUGCAGUUGGAUUAUGCUUUCUGUCCAUUUUAUCAAUUGGAAGCCUCACACACUGGAUUAUUCCAUAAACUUCCGUGAUCUUGUUUAUCCUUGUUGAUUUUGUCUUAGAUAUGCUACUUUAAUUUUGCUAACAGCCAUCUCAAGCAGCAAAUGGAAAGGAAACUUUGCUCAGAAAAGUUUAUUCUUUUUCUUGUCCUAGAUAUUUACUAAGUAAUUUAUAUUAAUGGUAUAUGGUGCUAUCUUUGUCCAGCUGUCCUAUCUAUUGGAAACCUUGUAGUACACGUAUUCAUGCACGGAGGCAUUUGUAUACUCAUGCAAAGGAAUAUUCCUUAUACACCCCUGAUCCUAUAUAUCCUAUUUGAUUUUGUCUCACCAAUGCUCUCUUAAUGUUUCUCAGAAUCAACAUAAAAGGAAAAACAAAAUAAAAGCUCAUGCUUAUCAAAUAUGAUUCUUUUCUUGCCCUCCUAUUUUAUUGAGGAAAUCAUAUCUAUACUAAUAUUUAAUGCCACUGACUCAGAUGGUAUCAUAACACCAACUUGGUCUCCUCUUAAAAAUAUUUAAUCUUAGUUGAUCUUUUAGAGUUUUACUGAAUUCAAAAUUUAUUUUCCUAUUUUUUUUAAUCCCUUUUUUUCAUCAAACGACAUACCACGUUGUAUAACAUUUAAAUAACUUUACUACCUUUAUUUUCCCUGAUAAUUUUUUUAAUACUUACUUUAAAUAAUUAAAAUUAUUGCUGUGUAUUUUUAUCCAUAUGCCUAGUGGAUGAACAAAGGGCUAGUUGAUUGUUUAUGUAAGUUCAUGCACAUAGUAGUUUUAGCAUCAAAGGAUGGUUUACACUGAAUAGCCUUAGGAAGUAGAAUUUGUUGCUCAAAUUCUGUAGAAUUUGUUAAAUUUGGUGAAAACUUCUCCUGACAUUAGUGUCUUGCAUGCAUGUUGAAGGAGGUUUGCAACCAUCUCGCAGAAGGUCUCUCUUUACCUUGGCAUCCUACAUGCUUAUUUUCUCAUCAAGGGCAGGCAAUCUUCCAGAGUUAAUUCCUCUUGUUAAAGCAUCUCUAACAGAUAAAACAGUCAGUUUCUUAUCCUUAAUCUAUAGGAGGUCAUUUAUAUUUUUUAUGGUACUUGAGUUUUUCAUCCUUUGCACAGGUUGAUCCUUAUCUCAAAUUAGUUGAAGAUAUCGGACUUCAGGCUGUUUGCAUGAAAUCUGAUGUGGACAGCAUAGCAUAUGGAUCAAAGGAAGAUGAUGUUGCUGCAUUGGAAUCCCUCUUGGCAAUAGAGCUAGAUGAUCUUCAUUUGAAGGAGACUGUCAUAUCCCAUUUCAUGACUAAAUUUGAGAAAUUGUCGGAGGUGAUAUAUCAGUUUCUUGAUUAUUAGUGCCUGCUUCUCUGGCUUUGUUGACAAUAAUAAGUAUUUAUUAUUGGAGGUUGAGUGAGGAGGUGGUUCCUUUGGUUUUGAGUGCAUUAUCAGUUAGAUUGAUGUAGAAUUUUUUGUUCUUGAAGUAAUGAAGUGUUGAACAAAGGUGCUUUAGACCAGGUGGUUAAGGAUUCUUUGUUUAAUAGAUAUGUUAUGUGAAAGAUUUGGGCUCCAAGUAGCUACUGUUGUUAACUAAUAGGACCAAAUAUCCUAAUACAGAGUGGAGUUAGGAGUAAUGUUACUUUGAGUGGUGGCAGCUACUGCCUUUGUUGAAAUAUAAGAAGAAAGGGUCUGAAGACAAGAAAAGAACUGGAUAAAAUGAGUGAAUCUAGUCCUAACUUGCAAAUUUCUUGUCAUAAGUGAAUUAUUGUCCCUCCCCCCCUGGUUCAGGUGUGUGGCUUAUAAAGAGUAAUAAUGACAUUAUAAUGAGAUUAUCAAUGCUCUUGGAUAGCUAUGGUAACGAUUAGUUGUCACAUGUCAUUUAGUUGUUCCACAUUUUUCAUGUAAAACGAAUUACAGCAUUUAUGGGAGCUUGUUCACAAACAAGCUUCUUAUCAUCCCUUUUUUGCUUCUUCCAGGAUGAAUUAUCAAGUAUAAAGAAACAACUUCUUGAGGGCUUUUCACCAGAUGACGUAUAUCCAUUAGGUGCUCCAUUGUUUAUGGAGACACCAAGACCAUGUUCUCCUCUUGCACUGAUGGAGUUUCAAGCAUUUGAAGAGGUACAUCUUGUUCGUAUUACAUUAACUCCUAUAACACUGUGAUAUUGUGUGGUUGACUUAAUGAUUUUCUUUCAGAUUAUGCCUCUGGCUGCAAUAACAGAUGAAGAAGAAGCCUUCCCUGAAGCCAAUGGAAGUCAGUCAGAUCGCAAAACAUCAUUAUCCAUCAGUACACUAGAUGUCUUAAGUGUGAAUGAGCUAUUGGAUUCAGUAAGCUGAGCAGUUCUAUUUAUUAGUAUUUUUAUUGAUUUUUCUAUUUUUAUUAUAAUUUUUCUAUGAAUUUGGAAACAUUAUAAAUUACAGAAGGACGGUAUGUCUUUAUUCAACUCCAUUGGUCAUCAUUUGGAUUUUGGUGCUGCUUAUGCUUUUGACCCUUCAUCUUGGUUUUAGUGGCGCUGAAUAAAUCAUUUUGGACAUUUUGGAAGGGUAAAAUAAACUAGGUUUGGGAGUCACAUUUUGAGUACGUUACUUUAUGAUUGUACCUUAUUUUGAGUUCCUCUAAAAAGGUGUGGUGUUAGCAUAGAUAUAUAAGUUUGAAAAGAGUCAGCUCUUGAAGCAUUAUAUUAAGAGUAUGUGAUCUUUCAUUCUUUUGGGUAGGGAAGAAAGCCUACUAAAUUAAUCCAUGAAGGGUUCUUGUUUUAGGUGUCCUAUUCCUAGUUACAUAAUUGUACUUGGAAGGAAACAGAAAAGAAGAAAACAAUGUGGGGGGACUGAUUCUUGUGGAUGUAUCCUUAAGUGUAUGCGUGCUGUUUUGGCAAAUUUAUAUACUGCUCGGAUCUUCAUUCAAAAACCAAACAUUGUCAUUACUAGGUGGUUGCUAUGAUUUGAUUAGAUUUAGAUUGAACGCUUGGAGAUGGAAGAGAGAAAAGCCCUUUAAUGAACUUUUUUGAAGAACUAUUUAAUCCAUUUCUGGCUGUUGGUUCCAGAGAUCUAGUUUUCACAUUCUUUAUACUUUAACCCCCUCUAUGUCUCCAGAGUUUUAUCUAGCUUUCAUUUUUUCACAAACUAUAACGGUUGGUUACACCAACAGGUUCUGGAAACAGCCCGGCAAGUUGCAAGCUUUUCAGUUUCCCCUACGCCCAUUCCUUAUGACGAAAUGAAAAGUCAGUGUGAAGCUCUUGUAAUGGGUAAACAUCAGAAGAUGUCAGUGCUUCAUAGCUUCAAGCAUCAACAGGAAACCAAGGCAACCUUCGAGCAAACUGAAAAGGAAGUCCUCUAUUUACCAAGUGUGGUGAGUUGGUUUAUACAUACAUGACGAACAUCUGUAUGAAUGUCUUAAUUUCUUGAAUGGAAUCUUUAAUUAUUGUUUAUUCCUUUCCACUUUCUUCCCUAAGCAAAAGCAUAACCUUUAAUGAAUCACCUUUCAGUACCAUUGAUAGUGUUACACAUAAAAAAUAAUAGUAGUAUAAUCUAUGAUAGUUAAUAGUACUAAUUAAAAGAAAGUGGAAGACAAUAACAAAGAAUAAAUUUUUUCUACUGUUUUCCAAUUUAUAGCAGGUUUUAUUAAAGGUUGAAUUCCAGAAAUCUUUUUCAAUUUCCAAAUAAAAAGGAUUUCUUAGUAGUUUUAAAACAGCAAUAUCUUUUCUGUUGUUAUGAUGCUUGCAUAACAUGUGGUUCCUUUAGCACAAAGUUGGCUUUGGAUAUAUGGUUUAUGGAAGUUACACACAAAUUGAGGAAUCCGGUAUGUAUCUUGAUAAAUAUUGCAUCUAAAGUCUUUCAAAUUUGAGGAAUCCACUAUGCAUCUUGAUUGAAAUGGCAACUAAAGUCCUUCAGAAUUUGGUAACCUGUCUGGUAAUUUGAUAUUUAUCCAAAAUAGGAGGAAGAGAGGCUUUACAUGGUUUGAAUACAUUUUACAUCCUUGAUUUUGAAUUGGGUUUGUCUAUUAGAAUCCAUAUGCUUGUAAAAGACAUUUUUAAGUAGUGCUUUUCUAGUGUAGUUCAAGAUAAGAGAAUGUUCAUGACAUUUAUGUUACAAAAUUGGCCUGCACUACAGGAUGAUUUUAAUCAAUUAAAUGAUAUUAUGAAACUGAUAAUUGUAGUUUUGGUGGAUUAUCAUUUUCUAUUUCAGAAAAUGGAGUUUUCGGAAGAUCUGAAGUUGAUUAGCAAGGAGCAAGUUCAUGUAAGGGGACAGCUUGCCCUGUGUUCACAAGAAUAUGGGCAGCGUUCCUUCCGAUUGCCACCAUCAAGCCCUUACGACAAAUUCUUGAAAGCAGCUGGAUGCUAAAGAGGUUGGAUAUGUUUUAUAUAUAUGUAUAUGUAACAAUCUAUAGCUUACUUAUCUUCCUUUUCUUUAUCUUUUCCUUUCCAGACUAUUGUGAAUUCUAUUCAUUUUUUGUUGCCAUGGAAGCUCAUUCUAUGCAUUUCUACCCAUCUCACCAGAAUGAAAGAACUGAUUAAGGAAGAGGUAGAAUGGACAUGAUACAGUAUUGUUUGAACAAAGUUGUUUGUUUCUUUUGUAAUGUUUAUAGCACUCCAGCAUCUUGUACAAGAGAGCAUUGUAGGACUCUGAUAAUUCUUUGUAUGAUAUUUCUAUGAUAAUGUAAUUUUAUCCUUUGCAAUUUUUGGUUUAUUCUUCCUUUUGUGUAAAUCUCAAACAUGUCAACAGUUGACCAAACAAGAAAGGUGUUACACCUUUUUAGUAUGUGCCAUAAUUAUCUUUUCUCCUUUAAAUUUUAUGUAUACUCCAAUCUAAUUUUUUUUUAAUAAAUGAGGCCGUAGUUUGGGAUAAGAAAAGAGAUUGUAAGUGUUAAGAUUUAAAUUUUAAUCACUUAUUAGAUAUUAUUUUUUGAAGGUGAUUGCAUAAAAAAAUUGACCUUAAGUCAUGGUACAAUCUAAUUCUUUUUUACUCAUAGUUUAUAGGUUGAAGAAAUACGGUAAUUUUUUCUAUACAUUGGGAAAAUGGCGUUCAAAUUCUGCUCUUUAUUGCUACUUAUAAUCCUAGACUGCUACAAAGUACAACCACAUAAAACGGAUUAAGCCAAAAUUUUAAGGUCAAAACCUUGAGUUAUUCCUUCCAAAAUGUGUAUCCAAUCGUCCAAAGGGAACAAAAUGCAGAAAAACUUGAAAAUAAUUGUUUUGAUCUCUUUGAAUAUCUACGGAAGCUUUGCAGAACAAGGGACAUACUUUUAGCAAGGCCACUUAAAUAAGAGUUUAGAAGACCACAAAAAAAAAAAAAUCUAUUUUCUUAACUCUAAUUGAAAGUAGCUUACAAGUGAGGGUUAAAGAGGCAUUUGUUCUCUUGUAGACAAUAAUUACAUAUUAAUUUCCUUAAAUAUUAUAUGUAAUAAGAAAUGAAUUAAAUAUUUAAAUUUAACAUCUAUAUAAUUUUGAUUGCAAAUUCUUUUUGAUUUGUCCUGUGAAUUUUUGUUUUGAUUUUUUUUUUUUAAAGUUUAAACGUUGUAUUUUGUUUAAUAUUAACUAUUAUCCCACUUUUACUGUAUAAUUCUAAAUUUACAAACUCAUAACUUAUAAUCUCUCUCUCUCUCUCUCUCUCUAUAUAUAUAUAUAUAUAUAUAUAUAUAUAUAUAUAUGUAAGUUGAGUGAUAAACUGAUAAUAAUGUGAACAAUACAUGUAUAAUUAUGAGAGAACAUGAAAAUAUGUAUGCAUAAAACUAAGAUUUAGUGACAAAAAGAGUUGCCUACUUUAAGCCACAUUUGUUCCAAAAAUCUGAAGUAUAUGAACCUCCAUCGUCUGCUAAUCACCAAUGGUCCCAAAAUACUCCAAAAGCCAGUAAUAAAUCCGAGAGCCAUGCUUACAUAGAACCAGUUUACUUCAAGUCCCCUUCCAUUUCUUCUACCUCCAUUGCUGAUAUUAGGUUCUAUACCACUUUCACUGCAGUCCUCUAAUGGAGAUCCACAAAGAUGGUUCCCAGCGUAACUUGAAGUAUUGAAGCUCUGUAACUGAGUACUUGAAGGUAUUUGGCCAGUCAAAUUGUUACAGGAGACGUUCAAGUGGCUUAAAAAUGUCAUACCUGACAUGCUUUGUGGAAUCGAACCGGAGAGCUGGUUUACAGAGAGAUCAAGAGAUUCUAGUGAUUUCAUACCACCAAUGUUUUCAGGGAUCUUUCCAAUUAAAUGAUUGUGGGACAAAUUUAAGGAUUGCAAUCCUUGGAGGUUUGUCACUUCCUGUGGGAUCUCUCCUGACAAAUUGUUGCAAGAGAUAUCUACAAUUCUGACCAAGUUGAGAGUGCUGCUGUAUUCAAGUAAUUGGCCUUUCAUCACAACUGAUGCAGAUUCAGAAGUAGGUCCAGUAAUAUUACCAUAAUUUAUAUUGCUGUCCUUGGAACCAUUCCCUCUGGCCAUGGCACUGAAGUUGUUCACACAUCUUGGUAUACUCCCAAAGAGAUUGUUAUUAGCAAGGUCCAAAAUUUGGAGAGAACCGAGAGCACAUAAAUGGUCUGGUAUGUUACCUCGAAACUUGUUUGAUCGAAGACUUAGAAUCAUCAGAUACGGAAGGCUAUGGCCUAACCAUCCUGGAAUGUUGCCAUCUAAUUCAUUCCCGCCAAGAUUAAUUGCCUCCAAUCCUGUGCAAUUUUUCAGAGACAAAGGGAUUUCUCCAUGAAGGUUGUUAUUGUAAAGAUUUAGCGAUUGAAGGGAGCGCAAAUUUCCCAUGGAGCUUGGAAUUCUACCAGUAAAUCUGUUGUCAUUUAGUCUUAGGACCAUCAAAGAUCGCCACUUGAUCCAACAAUCCGGUAUUUCUCCAGAUAGCAGAUUGUUAGCAAGACUAAGAAUACUUGUUCCCAUGGUGUCAUUCAACUGAUAACACAAAAACUGGAAAAGGGAUCCCGAGAAAUAAUUAUUGGAAAGGUCUAUCCUGGAAUGGGAGGAAUAUAUAGAGGUUCGAGGCAAUGGACCACUAAAAUGGUUGAAACUGAGGUCAAGAGCAACAAUUCCAUCAACCUUAGGUAGAUACUCAAUCUGCCCGUAGAUUUGGUUGCUAGAGAGAUUUAAAAAGGACAUUUGAGUUGACAAUCUCCAAAACCAACGAGGAAUCCUAUCAGAAAUUUUUGAGUUAGAGAUGUCUAGAUCUGCUAGAUGUUUUUGUGAGCGAAGCCACGUGGGAAACGAUGGCCCUAUAUGCCAAGAUCGUAACUCUAAGAAACGAAGUUGAAAAGGAGGAACCCAGUUAGGAUUGACUUUCAAAAUCAAUGAGUUGCCUGAUCCACGAAAAUCUAUCAAUUUUGUAUGGUUAGCAAAGUGCAUUGCGGAAACAACACCCUCCAACAAAUUAUUUUCAAUGGAGACCGCUUUCAAAUUUGCAAGCUGUCCUAAAGAAGUUGGAAGAGAACCAGAGAUUGAAUUACCAUACAAAUAAAGUUCUGUUAAGUUUAUAAAAUGUCCAAGUUGAUCGGUCAGUUGACCAAAAAUUUGACAAUUAGCCAAAUCCAAUGACUCAAAUCCAUGAGAGGAACAUCCUGACAGAAUUUCUAAGAUAUGUGAUAUGUCCUGGCUCAGUCUCAUACCUGACAAAGAGAUUGACCUCAAGUUACAAAGGUUUCCCACUGCUCUGGGAAACUCUCCUUCAAGUUCAUUCUCUGACAGGUAAAGUUUAUUCACAGAAGUCAUGUUGCCAAUGGCACUAGAAAUGCCACCUUGCAAUAGAUUAGAAUGAAGCCUGAGAACCUGGAGAGAGCUAAAACUAUAGAGCCAGUCAGGUAUUGAAGAAAUGAAAUAAUUAUAUGAAAGAUCAAGAAAUCUAAGAGAAGUCAUGUUUCGGAGAGCAUCAGGGAUGGGUCCAUGAAAAUCAUUUAUUCCAAGAUCGAGUAAAACCAGGGAGUUGAGCUUGGACACCCAUACAAGAUCCAUUUGAUUUGUAAAAUAAUUAGAGGAAAGGUCAAGGAUGGCAAGAGAUGACAAAUUAACAUUUGGCAAUGGAGGGCCUGGAAGAAGUUGACAGCCUGACAACUUCAAUUCCUCCAAAGAAGGGAGUACUGUGUUUAUCAGUUGCAACCAAUUGGAAGCUCUGCUGAGAUUCACGAAACUCAAAUCAAGAUGUUUCAGUAAAGAAAGACCAGACAGCCAUUGGAGAUUCUCAACAUAUAAUAACCCCAUCAUAAUAAAUGGAGUAUCACCUCCCAGAUUGAGAUAUUCUAAAUUUGACAGAUUCCCAAGUUGGUAAGGUAGGAGUCCUUCAAAUGCGUUGUUGCUUAAAUCCAAGUACCUUAAAUACUUCAAAUUGGACAAAGAAGGGUUUAUCUUACCUUUGAGGUUUGAUCUAUAAUAAGAUUCAAAGUCAGUAGUAUCAUCCAAAGGAGGAAGCCCAAGGUGGAGAUCAAGGACAUGGCCAGUACUAUUGUCACAGACAACUCCAUCCCAGCUACAGCAAUCCUCAUGAUCGGGAGCCCAAGAACCAAGCCGUUUUGAAGAAUCUAUGAGGUCUCGUUUGAACAUCAAAAGAGCUUGUUUUUCACUCUCAAUACAAGGACUAUUGGAGCUAGAGCUAAUUUCAUUGCUAAAGUUAAUGUCAGCCAUUGCUAGAAUGAUCAGAAGAACUAUGACGGUAGCCAUGGCUAAACAAAAAUUAUGGAGGGUAAGAAAAUGUGGCUGUGGUGCUAUUUAUCGACAGUGUCAUUUUUGGGAAUGCUGUUUGCCUACGCAAAGCUGCUGAUACAUAUAAUUAAGGAAGCAUUUUAAAAAUUGGUUAAAUUAUUAUUUAUAGUAAUAUUUUUAUAUAUAUUAAAAAAUUAAAAAUUGAUUCAUUCGAAUUUCUCUAAAAAAUAAUUGAAUCAACCAACCUAUUUCUAAUAAGUGAAAAUAACUGAACUGACAUAAAGUCAAAACAAUUCAGUUGAAAAAUUGAAAAUUUUUUACCAUUUUUAACAAUAAAUUUUAAAUAAUAAUUUUACAAAAGUUUUCAGCAAAUAAAACUCACCUUUUAAUUUGCUUCUAAGUCAUAUUUUUCCUUUUUUUUGCCCAAGUCAUAUUUUUCAUUUUUAAAAAUACAAAUAAUUUUUUAUAUAAUUAUAUUAAAUGUAUAAUAAAUUUAAAAAUUAAAAAAAAAAUUUAAUUUAGUUGAUUUAGUUAUUAAUUUUAAAAAUUAAAAUUCGAUCAAAUUAACCUAUUAAACUAAUUUAUUUAAUCGAUAAUUAUCAAAACCUUACUAAAAUCGAACCAUUUGAUUACAUUUAAUUGAUUUUUGUCAUUCAAAAUGAUAAAAGUGGACUUUGCUCACCCUUUUUAAAUAUGAUAAUUAUUAAAAUCAGAUCGAUUUGAUUAAAUUCAAAUAAUUUAUGUUAAUCAAAUUGACAAAAAUCAACUUUGCUCAACCUAUAUUUUUAUAAGUAAAGUUUCAUAAGUAAAGUUUGUAAAGUUUUUUAUUAAAAAUGAGUAAAUAAAAAUUAAAAUAAAAAAUCAAAAUAGAUAAACUAAAAGAUCUCAUCAUAUAGAUCAAACGUGUAAAAUUUUAAAAAAUUUAAUAAAUUUUGAUAUAUUUAUUAAAUAGACAUUUUCAGUAAAAAAUUGAUAAAAUUUAUACCGUUAAAUAAGUAUCAAUUAAAUUUGAAUUAUAAAUAAUAUUUUUGAUAAUUCUUUUUACAUAUUAUUGAUAUUUACAUUAAUUAAUUUAUCAAUUCGAAUUUUUUAUCAGAGUUUUUAUUUACUUAUUUUUAAUAAGGAACUUCAUGAACUCUACCUAUAUAACUUCAUAUAAAGUUUAUCCAUUAAAUAUAGUGUUAAUUAAUUUUAUAUAGUAUUUUAAAGACAUUUAUUAGUAAAUAUCUAUGGAAUAAAUUUGAAAUAAUGUUUAUGAAGGAGAGAAGUUUAAAUUCAUCAUUUUACUCUUUGGAGUAUAAAUAUUAGGUUCUUACUAAUUUUUACAUAUUACUUGCUUUCACCUUCAUAAUUUAUAUAAUAAAUUAAAUUUAAAUUUAUUCUUAUUAAAAGAAAUGUAGGGUUUUACCAAAUGUAGGCUUUUUAACCUGUUCUUGUCAAAAGAAAAUUUUCAAAUUUCAUAAUAACUUCUUAAAUACAUUAGCAACAACAUAUAGAUAUCCUUUUGUUAUUAUAUAGUGUUAAUUUAAUUUCACAAUAAAAUAAUGUAGGUCUAGUUUCAUAUUGUGAAAUUGCAAGUCCAUAAUGCUUUUAUGAAUAAAAACAAAUUUGCAGUAACCAAUUUUAUUUUCAAUUCAAAUGCCAUGCAUGCUGACAAAAAUUUUUAAAGAUUGCAAGAUUAAAAAGAUUUAAGCUCAUAAUAUUUUUCUUUGAAGAUUUAAAUAGAAAAAAAUUAAAAGAUUAAGGUUAAAUUAAAAAUUAAAAAAUUUUAUAUCUCAUUUUAAUAUUAUAUUUACAAAUCAAAUUUGACUAUUAUGAAAUUCAAAUUUUAGCUUAAUUAAUUAUAUAACUAUUUUUAUGAAAUAAUAUUUUAAAAAAUUGAUAUUCAAAUUCUAACAUAUAUGUCUUUUUACCUGUCACUAAAUUAAGACCUAAAAUGUAACCAAAAAGUUUUUGACUAUUAUGAGCCGCCAAUGACUUAUUCCACUUACAAUUUCAAUACCCAAAUUUGACCGUUGUCUAAUAUAUCAUUUUCAAUUUCUUCCCCCCCAAAAAAAAAAAAAACCCAAAAUCUCUCUUUUCAAUAUCAAAUAUCAUUCAUAAUAUUAUACAAUAAACUGUUAUUUCAAUUAACGAGUAAUUAGUUUAAUUAAUUAAGAUUUAUUCUCUUAAAUAAAAAUUUUUUUGAGUUUAAGUAUUAUCGGUGACUAUUUAUUAAGAUAAUCUCAAAUAUAUAACUUAUAAUCACUUAUUUUAAAUUAUCAGAUAUGAAAUAAUUUAAAGAAAUUAAAUAAUCUAUUUAUCUUUGAAUUAAAAAAAAAAUUUUUAUUCAAAGUUUUUAUAUUAAAAUACAAAAAAUCCUUUUUUUUAAAAAUAACGAAUGCGAUUAAUCACGGUAGAUAUUGUUUGGUCUUUGGUACACCAAAAAAAAAAAAGUGAUUGGUCCCUUUCUUAAUAAGUCGACUAAGAAUUUGGCAAGAAACCACGAGAAUGGAACAUAAUUUUUAAUUUAUUGGGGCAGUUGUGGAAUAAAAUUAUUUAUCGAAAAUCCACUCAUUUAUUGUGUUAAAGACAGCUGUUAUUUAAUGUGCUCAUUUGGAAUAAGGUGUUAGUCAAAUAUAUAUCAAUGAAAACAAAGACUUCUUAUGGCUAUCAUUUUCAAAAAAAUUUUUUAUUAAAAAAGAUUAUCUUUAUUUUUUAAUUAAAAAAUAAAAGCAUUAAUCAAUAAAUCCAAAAUUCGGAUGCUUCAAAUUAUAAUUAAUCAAGCUAUUAUAAAUUCAAAAUAUUAUAUAAUUAAUAUGAAUGAUCAAAAUUAUGAUGCAGAUUAGUAAAAUUCAAAAAAUAAAAGGUUUUUUUUCUGGAUUGACAGUAACUCAAGGAUACAUCUAAUUGUAUUCACGGUUGCAAAUGAGGAGAACAACUUAUUUUAUUCCAUUCCAUGGCUUAAAACAAAAGAAGGAUAAGAGAAAAGCAAGAUGCAUGUAGGCUUGGCAAGCAAGGUCUCUCCUCUCUCUCCCUCUCUCUCUAAUAAUUUUUAAAUUCCAGAAAUAGUCAAUUCCACAAUUGCAGGCUUGACAAGUCAAGGUAUCUCUUUCUCAUUUCUCUCUUUCUAAUAAUUAUUAAAUUCCAAAAAUAUACAAUUCCACAAUUAUAGGCUUGACAUAUGAACAGUUUUAAAAAUGGUCACAUAAUAUUUAGUAAAUAUAUUUUAUUUUAUUUAAGAUAUUUUUAAUUUAAAAUAAUUUAAAUAAUUUAAUUGAUUAUUAGCUUCUGCUUCUAAAUCCUCUGUUAGAAGACAUCCUUUAAACUGAGGGGCUGACUUUGUGAAAUAUAUUUUAAUAGGCAGUGGCUUUGAUUUUUAUAGGUGUGUGUUUUAUAACACUAGAUUGAGGUUGAACUUAGAUUAGUUAACAGUUCUAAUGAUUGAAUUUUUAGAUUGAUCUUUCUAGAUUUGAAACAAAUCACUUGUAUAAUAUUGUGGACUGAAGGAGAAUAUUGGGGUUUUAGGACUAAAUUGAUGCAGCAAGUCUAUAAUUCAUUACUAAAGGGUGAUCAGGCAUGUUUGGGUUGAACUUUCAGCUUUUAUUAACCUGUGACUAGCCUUAUGAUCUAAUAUGUUGAGCUGACUUACAAGUCUUUACAAGUCAGAUAUAUAAGUGAGUAACUCCUGAAUUUUUUCUCGUUGAGUUUUUCUUUUUAAAGUAAUUUUAUUCAGAUUUUAUGUUCAUUUUCUGUACUUUUCUCAUUUAGUAUUCCUUUACUCGUAUUUGUUUUCUUCCACUUCCAUUUUUGGUCAUUUACUACUUUCUCCUUUCUCAUUUCUUGUGCAUAGGUCUGCUUCAUGGGUGAGCACUCUCGUAUAUCAAUGGACUUCGAUAGUGUAAGUUAUCAUUUCUUAUGGUGGCUUUUCCUAUCAAUGCACUUUUAUAUUCAGUUUGAUGAAUUCCUGACCUGAUGCAAUUUAACGUGCAGUAUAUUUUAGUCCUAGCUGUAGCUUCAUUAAAAAUAUUGAAGUAAUUAAGAGUCUUCUUUGGCCUAGCUGGAGUUUCAUUAAAAAGAUUGAAGUAGAGUUUUGAAAUGGUUAUAAAUAUAUAAAUAACUAAGUAUAUUUAUGUCCAUCCAAAAUUUGGAUUAAUCUCUCUAUUGGUUUCUCUUAGUUCAGCUUCUCUUAGAAGCUCAAUUUUGAAGUUUCAUCUUUUAGCCUCUUGAAUCUCCUUUGAAAUAUUGGAAAGGAAAUCAUACACUAGUCAAACAGAUGUGCAGUAGGUGCUGGCUUUUUUGUUCAUCUUAAAUUCUUUUUCUAUCUUGUAUAGAUCAUAUCAGUGACCUUGGAGAACUACACCGAUAUCCAAAUGACCCCUGUCAGUGGCAGUAAAGUAAAUGAAAAUGGUAUCUCCUUCCCAGAUAUCAUUGAGAAGGAUUCAUCUGUACCAAAUCUUGUGAUUAACUCUGCCUUUGAUCCAACCAUGUAAGGCUUUAUUUCAGUAUAUCUCUUGCUGCAUUCAAUUCAGUAGGAUAUGUUUCAUGCUCAAAUAUCAUCCUUUGCUUCAUUUGGCUUUAUAACAGGGAUACUUCCAAGAGUCCCUCUUACUGGUCGAGAGUUAUCUUACGUAAUAUUGCCAGAUUGGCAAAAGAAGCAACAACUAUCCGGCGUGUUCUUGAACCUCUUUUUCAUAAUUUUGAUGCUGAAAAUCACUGGUCCCGAGAGAAGGGAGUCGCUUUUUCAGUUCUAAUGUAUUUGCAGUCGCUAAUGGAAGAAACAGGUUACUUUGGGAGUUUUAGUAUGGGUACUUUUUCUGAUAACUCGUUUGUAGAUAUAAUGGUAUUUAUUUUUUAAUGCCAGGAGAGGAGUCCCACCUUUUAUUGGCUAUCUUGGUGAAGCACAUGGAGCAUAAGAAUGUAGCCAAGCAACCUCAUAUACAAGUUAACAUUAUCGAUGUCAUUACUCAACUUGCACAAACUGCGAAGCCUCAGCCGUCAGUAGCAAUCAUCGGUACUAUAACUGACUUGAUGAAGUAUCUACGAAAAUGCCUUCAAAAUUCAACUGAAAUAUCAAGUUCUGGGGGU
This 15876-nucleotide long non-coding RNA is filed under the name Durio zibethinus. RNAcentral's name for it is "long non-coding RNA (DZIB_LNC000626)". Lineage: Eukaryota; Viridiplantae; Streptophyta; Magnoliopsida; Malvales; Malvaceae. The record is from RNAcentral.